This 464-nucleotide ribosomal RNA is filed under the name uncultured bacterium. RNAcentral's name for it is "partial 16S ribosomal RNA". It matches the Rfam family "Bacterial small subunit ribosomal RNA", at positions 338 to 795 of the family's 1533-position model. The record is from RNAcentral.
CCUACGGGGGGCAGCAGUAGGGAAUUUUCGUCAAUGGGCGCAAGCCUGAACGAGCAAUGCCGCGUGAACGAGGAAGGUCUUCGGAUCGUAAAGUUCUGUUGACGGGGAAAAAGAGCGGAGCGAGUAAAUGCUUUCUGAUUGAUAUUACCCUUCGAGGCAGUCACGGCUAACUACGUGCCAGCAGCCGCGGUAAUACGGAGGGGGCGAGCGUUAUCCGGAAUGGUUGGGCGUAAAGGGUGCGUAGGCGGCCUGCUAAGUCUGGGGGGAAAGGUACCGGCCCAAACCGGACAAGGUCUGGAAAACGGGGGGGCUAGAGGGAAGGAGAGGGCGGUGGAACUCCAUGUGUAGCGGUAAAAGGCGUAGAUAUAUGGAAGAACACCAGUGGCGAAGGCGGCCGCCUGGCCUGUUACUGACGCUGAGGCACGAAAGCGUGGGGAGCAAAUAGGAUUAGAUACCCGGUAGUC